GACGAACGCUGGCGGCGUGCCUAACACAUGCAAGUCGAACGGCAGCACGGGAGCAAUCCUGGUGGCGAGUGGCGAACGGGUGAGUAAUAUAUCGGAACGUGCCCAGUCGUGGGGGAUAACGUAGCGAAAGCUACGCUAAUACCGCAUACGAUCUACGGAUGAAAGCGGGGGAUCGCAAGACCUCGCGCGAUUGGAGCGGCCGAUAUCAGAUUAGCUAGUUGGUGGGGUAAAAGCUCACCAAGGCGACGAUCUGUAGCUGGUCUGAGAGGACGACCAGCCACACUGGAACUGAGACACGGUCCAGACUCCUACGGGAGGCAGCAGUGGGGAAUUUUGGACAAUGGGGGCAACCCUGAUCCAGCCAUGCCGCGUGAGUGAAGAAGGCCUUCGGGUUGUAAAGCUCUUUCGGCCGGGAAGAAAUCGCAUGGGCUAAUACCCUGUGCGGAUGACGGUACCGGCAUAAGAAGCACCGGCUAACUACGUGCCAGCACG
This 492-nucleotide ribosomal RNA is filed under the name uncultured bacterium. Its description in RNAcentral is "bacterial SSU rRNA". It matches the Rfam family "Bacterial small subunit ribosomal RNA", at positions 28 to 515 of the family's 1533-position model. The record is from RNAcentral.